Molecule: long non-coding RNA, 1821 nt
Filed under: Nicotiana tabacum (common tobacco)
Lineage: Eukaryota; Viridiplantae; Streptophyta; Magnoliopsida; Solanales; Solanaceae
Description: long non-coding RNA (NTAB_LNC013554)
Source: RNAcentral
UAGUCAACCCACCAACAACUAAAAAUUCUACUUUAUCUCCAAAUUUGAUAAGAAUGAGCGAUACUCAACAUAAAUCUAUAAUAACGAAGAAUACUCAAGACACAAAAAGAAUUUAACUAUAGAGCGGCUCUAAGAGUUCAAAGAAACGGCCAUAACAAUAAAUAAAAUUGCUGCCCACGCGAACAAAUGCGAGGCUCACCAGAAACUAUCAACUUGUGCGUCUGACUAACGAAAUCCUCGCCCUUCAACUGUUGUUUCUGGAAAAAAAAUAGCGGGGAGUGAGUCGCAUGCUCAGUGAGUAAUAACACUUAAGCACAACCGUUUUUAAUUGGGGACAAGUCAGAAAACAGUCUGCAUAAUAAUAAUUAGGAACUAUUAUAAAAAUAAAACGCCCUUUAAAAAAAAUAGUAAUAAUAAUUAGUCUCAUCAUGUGUUUCGUGUAAUAGAAAUCAAUUAAACAAUUCAGUAAUAGACUCGGUAAGCACUGUGUCAUAUCAAAUCUUUAUGUUUGGGAGGUUUCCAAGGAAGGAUCAUGUAAUCUGUAUCACUGUAUGGACCCCUUCGUAAAAGGAGUNNNNNNNNNNNNNNNNNNNNNNNNNGCGAGGGCUAUAACUGUAAUCGGUAAUCUGUAAAUACAAGGUGCACCAAGUCUAACGAACCCGCCGUUAGCUACGGGAUCCUUCAAAGUCUCCUCCCAUUUAUACUUUUCUUUGUAAACAGUAGAUAUUCAUACGAACGCAUUUUCAAAAUAGUACAGGGCAUUUCAGUUCUUAUUAAAUCAUAUAAUCUCGUUCGGUAAUAGUAAUCAUAUCUCAAAUAACAGUAAAACAUGUCUAGUAACAAUAAGAACAUCUAAAUAAUUGUAAAUAUUUCAAGUAAACUGUUCAGUACCAUAUUAAUAAAGGACUUGUCUCCACAUGCAAUUUCAAAUAUUCGGUAACACCUUUUAUUUUCAAAAAUAUAGUAUAAACCAUGCAGGUUAUAAAAAUACAAAUUGCGAUAAGAUUACUACUCACAGUACUCGUGUCGAAAUAUCAAACUCGUCAGCAAUCCGUAUGUCUUUUUGAAUCACCUAAAUUGCAUCAAUCUAUGUAUCAAUUCCAUGAACCAUCAACAUACCAAUUCACAAUAACCGACCUUUAUGCUUUCUUGUUUAACUCUUAAUUUGCCAAAUCAGAUUUUCCUACUCUACCCGAGAAUACUUGUAUACAUUAAUCAUGCUCUUUAAGUCAUAUAUAAAUUUCUUAGCCUAAGGCAGAGUUACUGUAGAAGCCAUAUGAUUCCAGAUUACCUUUAAAAUUUCUAGAGCUCGUUUAAGCUAAUAACUAACUAUGCCCUUAUGGAAGUAGCUUUCUGUCACAAAUUCUUCACUCAAAUUGAUUCAUAAUCUAUCGAUUUCAACCUUUUAUAUAAUUUACUCGUUAAAUUUUAUACUAAGUUAAAAACUUGUGUGUUUGGCCCUCUUUGUGGUAUAUAAUUAGACUAUUAUGUAGUUAGUGAACAAAAGAAGAAAACUUAAGAAAUCUGUCGAGAAGGCUCAAAUAAGGAGUUUAAAUGAUUACCCAAAGAAUCGAAAAUUAUUCGAAUUUGCAGAUGUUGCUGACUGUUGAUAACAUUCUUUGCUUUACAAUUUUGCAGUGUCAAACUUUUGCACUUUUUUUUUCUUUCUCCUUUGCCAAACAGGGAUAACUUCACUAUUUUUUAUUCUCUCCAACUCGUUGAACUCCCUCAAUUUUCUAAUUGCUAUGCUUGAUCCUCAUUGACAAGACCCUAAUCCUUUUGGUAUGCUGAAAUACGCCACCUUCUUCUUGGUGGGCUUUG